GCCAGGACAUAGAGUUGGCUGGUACCACUGAUCGAACUAGGAAUUCAGAGAAGGUGCUGGCUUUGGGGAGAAAGAACAUGCGUGCACUGUCACACCUGUUGCUUUCAGUAGGGCCAGCCACAGAGAAGUGCUCAGGUGGAAAUGCUUGGGAAAUACAAGGUUGGAUCUCAUGAAGAAUGGAGCUAGAGAGGUAGAUCCACCUGAAUGUAGAGGUUCUAGCUGAAGCAGUGGGAGAGAAAAGCCCUAAUGGGUCUGGGCUGCUGGAGCGAGAAAACAGAGGGCUCAAGGGCAAAAUGUUUUAAAAUUCAGAUCUGAAAAAAUGAGAGUUCCAAACAGAAAGCGAGUGGUCUGUAGUAUGAGAGGCUGCAAAGAGUACAAGGAUGAUAUAAACAUUGAGUUUGGCAGUUAGGAGAUCAUUAGCAAGUUUUCAAAAAGCAUUUUGGAGUGAUUGGAUCAAAGAUCAUGGAGACAAGAUUUCAGGGACUAAGAUAAAGUGAAAGAAGGGGAAAAGGUUUGUGGCAACCGGUUCAGACAACUACCUUAUAGUUAGUGAUUAUGCAGUGGGUGCAGAGGGGGGAAAGAAAAAGUGUGCGUUUUACAAUGAAAAGCUUUAAAGGAACCUAGAAUGUUGAGUUACCCACUAGCCCUUUAUAUCACGACAUGGAAGAGUGACAUUUACUUAUAAAAGUGACAAAAAAUAAGAAUAUACAAAGCUUACCACAUUAGAGAAACAUGCACACGACAUUUGUUCUGCUCUAAACUAAAAAGACAGUUUUUCUCCCUUUUUAAAAAUAAAUUUAAGAAGAAAAAGAAAUUAAUCACGAUUUCUUUCUUUAGCAAGAAUAUGAAAACUUGGUCUAUUCCUUUUGCAUCCUAAAAUAUAGUUUUAAAGUUCUUUGUUUUUAGGGUGAUGGGGGAAAAGAAACCUUAGAGAGAGGGGGGGAAUGACAUUUCACUCAUUCUCCUACAUUAGCCAACUUUAACGAAACCUAUAACCGGCUGCACUUUACUACCUUUAAAAUAUCACCUCUUACAGAUUUGGCAAGGAAAUGACAGGUUUUUUGGUUUUUUUUUUUUAAGUAGCUAUAUUUUUCUCUCUUUCUUCUGUAACCCAUUUAGCAACUGGUUCACAUGAAUCACAAGGCCAGACUGCUAAAAGUUCGAGAUAUUUCCAAGAAAACUGAGGGAAAAAAUAUUAGCAUCUAUAGGAAGAAAACUUAAAAAAAAAUAAUACCCCUAUGUUUCUGAGAAGUUGACACACGAUUUCAAUUGCUUGAUCCUAAACUAUAAUAAUAAAAUGCCAUUAUUAUUAUUAUUAUUAUUAGGCACUGAAGACAAAUUAAAGAAGAGCCAGAAUUCUCUAGCUCCUGUAUCUAAGAGGUGGUAAUUGGAUUCAAGCAAAUCUAAGGUUGAAUUUCUGCUUCAUCACUUACUUACUGGGCCAGGGGCUACUAACUGCUCUAAGUGCUCAUCGUCAAUUUAUGUUCAGUGAGAGAAUAUCCUAAGUUUUCGCAGGGCACACGGCUGUCCAGUCACAGACUACAUUUCUAGCCUCCUGGGCGGUGAAGUAUGGCCAUGAGUCUAAGUUCAGGUCAGUGGAGUGUGAGCAAGCAGGGUUUUCACAAAUUCUGGGUCAUCUCCUUCAGGAUAAAGCUAGUUGCCCUAACUAUUGUUUUUCCUUCCCAUAUGCUGGAACAUAUACAUGGUGGUGACUGAGCUUUUGCCAUGGCAGUAAUAUUAGAAAGGGAACCUGGGUCUCAAAAUGACCUCAUGGAGUAUUGUUGCUCUGACAAUCUUGAAUGCUCACACUGGGGCUGUUAAGAAAGCAUCAACUUAAUUAAUUAAGCCACUAUACUUUCUGGUGUCCUCAUUACAGCAGCUCAGACUAUAACCUCAAAAACUCAUCUGUCAAGAGUCCUUGGUGUUUAACCCCUCUGGAUCUCAGUUUCUUCUUCUGUAAAUUGGGGAUAAUGCUUACCUCGCAUCUGUUGUGAAGAUUACAUGAGAAAAUGCAUGGGGGGCAGAGGAAGAGGGACCACAGCCUAGCAGAUGAAUGGUGUAUGAUAAAUGUUUGUACUAUUCCCUUAAAUCAUUUAGGAACAUAUGUUUCAUAUACCUUUUCAGUGAAUAUAGAAAAUAAGAGAAUGAAUGUCAAGUAGCUGAAUAUGAUUUGUACUGUAUAGGAGAUGCCAAGAAAUCCAUCAUAAGUUGAAAAUGUCAUAAGUCAGAAAUGCAUUUAAUACAUCCCACCAACCAAACACCCUAGCUUAGCCUAGCCCACUUUAAACGUGCUCAGAACAUUUACACUAGCCUAUAGUUGUGCAAGAUCAUCUAACACAAAGCCUAUUUUAUACUUCAGUGUUGCAUAGCUCAUGCAACUUAUUGAAUACUGUACUGAAAGUGAAAGCCAGAACGGUUGUACGGGCACAGAGAGGUUGUAAGCGUAUGAGCUGUUUACUCUCCCGAACCCGUGGCUGCAGCUCACUGCCACUGCCCAGCGUCAUGAGAGAGUAUCAUACCCCAUAUCGCUAGCCUGGGAAAAGAGCAAAAUUCAAAAUCUGAAGUACAGCUUCUGCUGAAUAUGUAUCCCUUUUGCAGCAUCACAAAGUCAAAAAAAUCAAGUCAAGCCAUCAUAAGUUAGGGACUGUCUGUAUAUAGUAGGCACUCACGAGUUUCCAUCAGAUUAUAAACUCCUUGAGUGCCAGUUCUGAGUCUCGUUUACCAUUGUAUCCCAAGUGCACACACAUAUUUAGACUCAAUAUUUGUUGAGUAAGGAGAACAUUGAUAUAAAAUGUGAGUUAGCUAUUUUUAUCUCCAUCACUUCCUUCCCUCCCCGUGACCCCACCCACGGAAGGAGGAAGCUCACAUACAGAGUGAAGUAACUUGCCUGCACUGGCCCGGUUUGUAAGUAGCCGACUCAAGAUUCGAACCAAAUCCAGGCCUCACUGGAUCCACAUUUUGAGGUCUUUUCACCCUGAACCUGGAUAAGUACUCUUUCUUGAGGGCAGACUUGGAGACAAAUGAAGAUGACAAAUUCCAAGGAAUGAAAAAAUUCCAGAUGUUCUCUGUUUAGAUUCAGAAAUGCUUCCUCUAUGGUAUCCCUGAACUACUGGCUGACUUGCAAAACAGAAACUUAUAAUUGACCAUCCUUCCAUAUGUCUUCUCAGGAUCCACUCACUCACAAUAAAAUAAAUUAAUAUUUAUUCAUUUCA
Molecule: long non-coding RNA, 3212 nt
Organism: Felis catus (domestic cat)
Lineage: Eukaryota; Metazoa; Chordata; Mammalia; Carnivora; Felidae
Exons: 2
Source: RefSeq, a predicted model, not a curated record